Molecule: ribosomal RNA, 405 nt
Filed under: uncultured bacterium
Lineage: Bacteria
Description: partial 16S ribosomal RNA
Rfam family: Bacterial small subunit ribosomal RNA
Source: RNAcentral
AUUGAACGCUGGCGGCAGGCUUAACACAUGCAAGUAGAACGAGUGGCUGACGGGUGAGUAAUGCUUGGGAAUCUAGCUUAUGGAGGGGGAUAACUACGGGAAACUGUAGAUAAUACCGCGUACCCUAGGAGGAGCCCAAGUGGGAUUAGGUAGUUGGUGAGGUAAAGGCUCACCACGCCGACGAUCUAUAGCUGGUCUGAGAGGAUGACCAGCCCCACUGUGACUGGUACACGUCCCAGCCUCCUUCGGGAGGCGGACAUGGGGGAUAUUGCGCAAUGGGUGCAACCUGCCGCAGCCAUGCCGCGUGAAUGAAGAAGGCCUUCGGGUUGGAAAGUUCUUUCGGUAGCGAGUCGUUAACUACAGAAGAAGUACCGGCUAACUCCGUGACAGCAGCCGCGGUAAUUC